GGGCGUGUAGCUCAGUUGGCAGAGCGUUCGCUUUGCAUUCCUGCAAGAAAAAAAAAUGCGAAAGGUCUAGGGUUCAAUUCCCUACUCGUCCA
This is a non-coding RNA of Podospora fimiseda, 92 nucleotides long. The record is from the annotation of a GenBank genome assembly. NCBI's taxonomy places the organism in Eukaryota, Fungi, Ascomycota, Sordariomycetes, Sordariales, Podosporaceae.